Molecule: small nuclear RNA, 340 nt
Filed under: Jaculus jaculus (lesser Egyptian jerboa)
Lineage: Eukaryota; Metazoa; Chordata; Mammalia; Rodentia; Dipodidae
Description: 7SK RNA (ENSJJAG00000008125.1)
Rfam family: 7SK RNA (bases 1-302)
About the family: 7SK was discovered as an abundant small nuclear RNA in the mid-70s but a possible function has only recently been suggested. Two independent studies have found that 7SK RNA binds the CDK9/cyclin T complex (known as elongation factor P-TEFb). P-TEFb activates transcription by phosphorylating the C-terminal domain of RNA polymerase II.
Source: Rfam by way of RNAcentral
GGAUGUGAGGGUGAUCUGGCUGUGACAUUUGUCACCCCAUUGAACUCCUGGGUUGAUUCGGCUGAUCUGGCUGGUUAGGCGUUUGUCUCCUUCCUCCCUUGCCACUCCAUGUGUAUCCCUCCCAAAGCUGUGCACUCAACUGAAGAGGACAACUUUCCCCAAAUAGAGGAGGACUGGUCUUUGGUCAAGGUUAUAUGAGUAGCUGUGCUCGCCUGCUAGAACCUCCAGGCAAGCUCUCAGAUUACUAGAGAGAGUAACAGUGCACACUGGUGUGCUGUGGUCUGUGAAAUCCACCAUUAGGAAAAUAGUGUAGAGCUGUGCGUGGUGGCACAUGUGUUUA